UAUAAUUUGUCCGAAGAAACCUUAUGGAUGUGCAAAGGAUUUAGCUAUCGUUGUUCACGGUUCUUGUCACUUGUAGAGUUGGACAACCCGAUGACAAGGAUAGUUGCUGCUUGGGGGAGUUGCUGUUAAUUUCUUUCUCAGAAUUUUACUUGGUGCAUCUGUCUGAAAUGGUGAAUAAUAACUGUAAAAAGAAGAAUACGGGUCAGAAACAGUGUUGAAGUAAAAUGUUUGAUUUGUCAUAGAAGUUGGAUAGAAAGGAGGAGAGUAUUCCCAGUUGUUCCAGUAGUAGGAGGAAUAGUUGUAUUGUUGCGGUUGGUGAUCCGGCUGGAAUCCAUCAGAGUAAUUGAAGUUUGAUUGAAGACUAACGACCUCGUCUGGAGAGCUGGGAACAAUCCAUUCCGAUUGAAGUGGUGAUAUCGAAGAUGGCUCGGAUGUCGAGUAGUUGAUUGUUUCUGCGGAUGGAACUGCCGAAUGAUCCGAAUAGAAUCCAGGAGUCGGAAGGACUUGAGAUGAGACGGACUAACCUUGUCGACUUUGACGAGAAACGUAUGGCGGUGAUCGACGAUGUUGGCGAUUUGUUUCGCGAGUUGAGGUCGGGACUCGUGAAGAUCCAAGUUGGCGGGCUCGUCGACGGCGAUUCUGAAACCACCACUGAUGCAAUCAAGAAAGAAAUUAAUUUGAGAGACGCCAAUCAACUGGGCGAUGCGUCGGCGAUCUUCUCGAUUUGGAAACGGAUCUCUGUUGAACUCUGCGUCGAGUAGCUCCAGCUGGACCUCGUCGUAAAAGUGGCGCUGACGACCGGAUGCUGAAGAAGACUUCGUGGUGGAAACAACGGGAUAAUAAUCUGAAAGUAAAAAUUAACAUUAAAAUAUUUCCUUCGUAAAUAAGUGAUUUGAGUGAAGAAAGAAAGUAAAUUACCGUAACUAUCCAUAGUUAAAGAGUCAACGAUACAAAU
Molecule: long non-coding RNA, 955 nt
Organism: Daphnia pulicaria
Lineage: Eukaryota; Metazoa; Arthropoda; Branchiopoda; Diplostraca; Daphniidae
Exons: 5
Source: RefSeq, a predicted model, not a curated record